This 588-nucleotide ribosomal RNA is filed under the name uncultured fungus. RNAcentral describes it as "eukaryotic LSU rRNA". The stretch from base 226 to 379 matches the Rfam family "5.8S ribosomal RNA". Lineage: Eukaryota; Fungi. The record is from RNAcentral.
CUCCGUAGGUGAACCUGCGGAGGGAUCAUUACACAAUAACCAGGCGGGCUGGACACCCCCCGCUGGGCACUGCUUCACGGCGUGCGCGGCGGGGCCGGCCCUGCUGAAUUAUUCACCCGUGUCUUUUGCGUACUUCUUGUUUCCUGGGUGGGCUCGCCCGCCCUCAGGACCAACCACAAACCUUUUGCAAUAGCAAUCAGCGUCAGUAACAACGUAAUUAAUUACAACUUUCAACAACGGAUCUCUUGGUUCUGGCAUCGAUGAAGAACGCAGCGAAAUGCGAUACGUAGUGUGAAUUGCAGAAUUCAGUGAAUCAUCGAAUCUUUGAACGCACAUUGCGCCCUUUGGUAUUCCAAAGGGCAUGCCUGUUCGAGCGUCAUUUGUACCCUCAAGCUUUGCUUGGUGUUGGGCGUCUUUUGUCUCCAGUUCGCUGGAGACUCGCCUUAAAGUCAUUGGCAGCCGGCCUACUGGUUUCGGAGCGCAGCACAAGUCGCGCUCUUUGCCAGCCAAGGUCAGCGUCCAGCAAGCCUUUUUUUCAACCUUUGACCUCGGAUCAGGUAGGGAUACCCGCUGAACUUAAGCAUAUCA